GACGAACGCUGGCGGCGUGCUUAACACAUGCAAGUCGAACGGAAAGGCCCUGCUUUUGUGGGGUGCUCGAGUGGCGAACGGGUGAGUAACACGUGAGUAACCUGCCCUUGACUUUGGGAUAACUUCAGGAAACUGGGGCUAAUACCGGAUAGGAGCUCCUGCUGCAUGGUGGGUGUUGGAAAGUUACGGCGGUUGGGGAUGGACUCGCGGCUUAUCAGCUUGUUGGUGGGGUAGUGGCUUACCAAGGCUUUGACGGGUAGCCGGCCUGAGAGGGUGACCGGCCACAUUGGGACUGAGAUACGGCCCAGACUCCUACGGGAGGCAGCAGUGGGGAAUAUUGCACAAUGGGCGGAAGCCUGAUGCAGCAACGCCGCGUGCGGGAUGACGGCCUUCGGGUUGUAAACCGCUUUCGCCUGUGACGAAGCGUGAGUGACGGUAAUGGGUAAAGAAGCACCGGCUAACUACGUG
Molecule: ribosomal RNA, 468 nt
Filed under: uncultured bacterium
Lineage: Bacteria
Description: partial 16S ribosomal RNA
Rfam family: Bacterial small subunit ribosomal RNA
Source: RNAcentral